Molecule: long non-coding RNA, 1115 nt
Organism: Myotis davidii
Lineage: Eukaryota; Metazoa; Chordata; Mammalia; Chiroptera; Vespertilionidae
Exons: 2
Source: RefSeq, a predicted model, not a curated record
CUGAGUCACACCAGCCAGGGCAACACCUGUACUUUUAUGGUAUUAUUUUGUUGAUUUAUUUAUUGUCUAUCUCCUCACCUGCAUAUAAACUCCCUGAUGAUCUUGUCUUACUAAUCUGCUUAAUUAUAAAAACCUUUUUUUCUUUAAAGUGGGCCACUAUCCCUCAGUAUUGAAGAUGAUUGACUGGAGUAGCACAAGGACAAUGUUUAGCACCACACCAGACUCAUAAUAGAUGCUCAAUAAAUGCCAAUUUCAAGGAAAGAAAUGGAAAUUCCUGGGUGACAGAAACAAAUUCAGAAUUCAUCCUGAAGGUAAGUGGAUGUUGAAGUCACAGUGGCCCCUAGGACACCAGACUUGCAAACAGAUGAGCCUUUGGGGAUAGGGUUAGAAUGCCCCCAGGGAGAUAGGAGACAACCUCUGGGCCUUUCAAGGUGGAAACUGAAACGAUCCCCUGGCACUUGAAAGGGCUGUUGCUAGAAAAAAAGGAUUGGAAGAAAACAAAAUAUUAAUUGUGGUUGCCUUGGGGUUGAGGUUAAAAUAGAUGUCACAGAAAAACAGUAGGAGAAAGGAGUCCUGAGCUCUUAGGGAAGGGAAAAUAGUCAGGGAGUCCUUCCCAGAGUGGGGGCUGCUGGAGCUGGCUAAGAGGCCCACCCUUAGCAACUCAACCUGCCAGGGCCAGCACCUGAGAUUUGAACCCAUUUCUCCGGGCUUAGUUCUGCUUCCUGGAAUGCUUUUGCAUACCUGUGCUGCCAGGAAUCCUGUUCAGGUUUCUAGCCAGCCAAUACAGAUACACUUUUUCUUUCUCUUGCUUUUGCUCUGUGGUCCUUUGAACAAAAAUGUUUAUCCUCACAGAAAUUUCUAGGUCAGCAGAUCUAGGUUCAACUGAUCUAAACUAGGCUCAGCCAAGCAGCUCUACUUCAGGUUGAGGAAGAUUGGCUGGGCUGAGCAACUAUGUUGAUUGGAUUCAGAUUUGUUCAUGUGGGGGCGGCUCCUGCUGAGUCCCAUGCUGAAAUUGCAGCAGCUACCCAAGGCAUGAUCUUUUUUUUUUGAAUCCUCGCCAAGGUUAUGUUUUUACUAAUCCUUAGAGAAAGAGAGAAAGAGGAAAGGGGGGGAGA